This 222-nucleotide ribosomal RNA is filed under the name uncultured bacterium. RNAcentral describes it as "partial 16S ribosomal RNA". It matches the Rfam family "Bacterial small subunit ribosomal RNA", at positions 57 to 305 of the family's 1533-position model. The record is from RNAcentral.
GCAAGUCGAGCGCUCCUCUUCGGAGGGGAGCGGCGAACGGGUGAGUAACGCGUGGGAACGUACCUUUUGGUUCGGGACAACCCUGGGAAACUGGGGCUAAUACCGGAUAAGCUCUACGGAGGAAAGAUUUAUCGCCGAAAGAUCGGCCCGCGUUGGAUUAGCUUGUUGGUGAGGUAAUGGAGCACAAAGGCAUCGAUCCAGAGCUGGUCGGAGAGGAUGAGC